CUUCACCGAACCCAGCAGCAACGGCGCCGAGUCACCCCGGUCCUGCCCGUACGUGGCCAGCAACGCCUGCGCCUC
Molecule: antisense RNA, 75 nt
Filed under: Micromonospora peucetia
Lineage: Bacteria; Bacillati; Actinomycetota; Actinomycetes; Micromonosporales; Micromonosporaceae
Description: ASpks TB sRNA
Rfam family: ASpks TB sRNA
Source: RNAcentral